CGUACACUCCUACGGGAGGCAGCAGUGGGGAAUAUUGGACAAUGGGCGCAAGCCUGAUCCAGCCAUGCCGCGUGAGUGAUGAAGGCCCUAGGGUUGUAAAGCUCUUUCACCGGUGAAGAUAAUGACGGUAACCGGAGAAGAAGCCCCGGCUAACUUCGUGCCAGCAGCCGCGGUAAUACGAAGGGGGCUAGCGUUGUUCGGAUUUACUGGGCGUAAAGCGCACGUAGGCGGACUAUUAAGUCAGGGGUGAAAUCCCGGGGCUCAACCCCGGAACUGCCUUUGAUACUGGUAGUCUUGAGUGCGAGAGAGGUGAGUGGAAUUCCGAGUGUAGAGGUGAAAUUCGUAGAUAUUCGGAGGAACACCAGUGGCGAAGGCGGCUCACUGGCUCGAUACUGACGCUGAGGUGCGAAAGCGUGGGGAGCAAACAGGAUUAGAAACCCCGGUAGUCCCA
Molecule: ribosomal RNA, 451 nt
Filed under: uncultured organism
Description: partial 16S ribosomal RNA
Rfam family: Bacterial small subunit ribosomal RNA
Source: RNAcentral